UUCCUUUUAUAUUUCCUUGAUGAUUUCUUCGUGAUUAACCGCUUAAAAACUGCUUGAUUGCUUUGUAACUACCCACUUUCUUUAUGGUGGCUAACUUGUUGUGGAACUGCCGUCUCUAACUGCUGCCACUACUCUUUGUCGUUCAACCGUCUUCAACUGAACUCCUUGAAUCGUGGAACGUGAUAAGGUUACUCAAUAACUGCUUCAAUAACUGCAUUUCUAGAUAACCAUAACAUCUUAUGUUUGCUAAGAUCUUGGGCGAUUCGAAGGUUUGGGCGAGAAUAGGGUCAUAGCUUUGGGCGAUUGUAAGGCACUUUAUUCGCUCAGAUCUUGGGCGUCCUGCAGACUUGGGCGAUGAUGUUACUGUGUUCACGGGCUUCCACCGCAUUUAUUAAUAACCCUAUCUGGGCCUUUAUCCUGAAUUGUCUAGUUGAGCUUCAUUCUUUGAGUUAUUCGAUUUGGGUUGCACUUUUAGUGUGUCAACAGAUUUAAAAAAAAAUUAUACAGAGAAAUCAAGUUUUUUAGAUUUUUUGUAAAACACCAAGGCAGAGGCUAGAGGUACUCUGAUACCAUAUGUAAGAUUGAAAAUCGAUUCAAAACAAUUAUGCGAAAAGUGAUUGGAUAGAAAAAGAGAAACUCCAUGGAUCGAGUUCAUACCUCCGGCCAUUGAUGUUGUUCCAUAAUCUCUAUCUUUGUUCGAGGUAAUGACACUUCUAAACUCUCAAUACUUCAAAUUGAUGGUGUAUCUUGUAUUUAAGUUUAGGGACCAAACCCCUUUUUAUAGCCAACUCCCAUCAAGUUAUGGUUUCAAUUAUCUUUCAAUUAAUGGCGUAAUAAAUACUGAAUUGAAGUUUUAUAAAUGUUGAAACUGAAAAAUGAAUGUUGGAC
This 888-nucleotide long non-coding RNA is filed under the name Olea europaea subsp. europaea. Lineage: Eukaryota; Viridiplantae; Streptophyta; Magnoliopsida; Lamiales; Oleaceae. The record is from RNAcentral.